Molecule: ribosomal RNA, 492 nt
Filed under: uncultured bacterium
Lineage: Bacteria
Description: partial 16S ribosomal RNA
Rfam family: Bacterial small subunit ribosomal RNA
Source: RNAcentral
AGUGAACGCUGGCGGUAGGCCUAACACAUGCAAGUCGAACGGCAGCACAGUAAGAGCUUGCUCUUACGGGUGGCGAGUGGCGGACGGGUGAGGAAUACACCGGAAUCUACUUUUUCGUGGGGGAUAACGUAGGGAAACUUACGCUAAUACCGCAUACGACCUACGGGUGAAAGCAGGUGAUCUUCGGACCUUGCGCGAUUGAAUGAGCCGAUGUCGGAUUAGCUAGUUGGCGGGGUAAAGUCCCACCAAGGCGACGAUCCGUAGCUGGUCUGAGAGGAUGAUCAGCCACACUGGAAGUGGGACACGGUCCAGACUCCUACGGGAGGAAGCGUAGGGGAAUAUUGGACAAUGGGCGCAAGCCUGAUCCAGCCAUACCGCGUAGGUGAAGAAGGCCUUCGGGUUGUAAAGCCCUUUUGUUGGGAAAGAAAAGCAGCAGGUUAAUACCGCGCUGUUCUGACGGUACCCAAAGAAUAAGCACCGGCUAACUUCGUG